GACGAACGCUGGCGGCGUGCUUAACACAUGCAAGUCGAACGGAAAGGCCCUGCUUUUGUGGGGUGCUCGAGUGGCGAACGGGUGAGUAACACGUGUGUAACCUGCCCUUGACUUUGGGAUAACUUCAGGAAACUGGGGCUAAUACCGGAUAGGAGCUCCUGCUGCAUGGUGGGGGUUGGAAAGUUUCGGCGGUUGGGGAUGGACUCGCGGCUUAUCAGCUUGUUGGUGGGGUAGUGGCGUACCAAGGCUUUGACGGGUAGCCGGCCUGGGAGGGUGACCGGCCACAAUGGGACUGGGAUAGGACCCAGACGGCUACGGGAGGCAGCAGUGGGGAAUAGUGCGCAAUGGGCGGAAGCCUGGUGCAACAACGCCGCGUGCGGGAAGACGGCCUUCGGGUUGUAAACCGCGUUCGCCUGUGACGAAGCGUGAGUGACGGUAAUGGGUAAAAAAGCACCGGCUAACUACGUG
This 468-nucleotide ribosomal RNA is filed under the name uncultured bacterium. RNAcentral's name for it is "partial 16S ribosomal RNA". It matches the Rfam family "Bacterial small subunit ribosomal RNA", at positions 28 to 507 of the family's 1533-position model. The record is from RNAcentral.